Molecule: long non-coding RNA, 612 nt
Filed under: Phasianus colchicus (ring-necked pheasant)
Lineage: Eukaryota; Metazoa; Chordata; Aves; Galliformes; Phasianidae
Description: lncRNA (ENSPCLG00000001521.1)
Source: RNAcentral
GCAACAUCUGGGCAACAUACGUUUUGGCAUGACAGCUAGUAGAUGGUUAUCUCCCAUGUGACUGAAGCCUCAUUUCUUGCCUUUACCUCUGUACAACAAAGAUUGUUAUCUGCUAAUAUGGAAGUGUCUUGGAUGAUGCAAAUAGUAUGUAUUCUUAAUGCUCAAGAUGCCAAAGGAGAAAGAUAAACUGUCCUGCAAAAUAAACAGAAGGCUGAUGCCUUUCUGGAAGGAGAGCUGCAGGGGAUGUCCAUCAAAAACAACUGAGUGUUGCUUACCAGGUACCAGUCAAUCUCAGAGAGGACCAGGUUGUGCCUGGCUACAUGAUCUGUUGUCAUGUCUUUCAUCUUAAAGCCACAGUACUUUGAAUGACAAAGGAGAAGCACACAUUCCUGCAAGAGUGGCAAGAGUGAUUCUUAGUGGUCAGGAACUCAUCUUGGUGCUGACAACGGGACUUAUUAGUCUAUUGGACAGUGAAAGAUCAGCUUUUCUUUUUCACUGAAAUUCUCCAUUCAUGCUGAACUCCCUGACAGCACAAAACAAACAUGUACUGUUGUUUCUGGAAACUGAGAAGAUAAACUCACUAUUCUUAAUAAAGACAACUGGGGUUCAACA